CCUACGGGUGGCAGCAGUAGGGAAUUUUCGGCAAUGGGCGAAAGCCUGACCGAGCAACGCCGCGUGAAGGACGAAGGUGCCAAGCAUUGUAAACUUCUUUUGUCAAGGGACAAAAUCAGGCUCGAGAGCCUGACCGAGGGUCCUUGAAGAAAAAGCAUCGGCUAACUCCGUGCCAGCAGCCGCGGUAAUACGGAGGAUGCGAGCGUUAUCCGGAUUUAUGGGGUUUAAAGGGUGCGUAGGCGGGCUGUUAAGUCAGCGGUAAAAGCCCGGGGCUCAACCCCGGCGAGCCGUUGAAACUGGCUGUCUUGAGAUGUCGAGAGGUAUGCGGAAUGCGCAGUGUAGCGGUGAAAUGCGUAGAUAUUGCGCAGAACUCCGAUUGCGAAGGCAGCAUACCGGCGGCGAUCUGACGCUGAGGCACGAAAGCGUGGGUAUCGAACAGGAUUAGAUACCCCAGUAGUC
This 459-nucleotide ribosomal RNA is filed under the name uncultured bacterium. RNAcentral describes it as "partial 16S ribosomal RNA". It matches the Rfam family "Bacterial small subunit ribosomal RNA", at positions 338 to 795 of the family's 1533-position model. The record is from RNAcentral.